ACGGGGCGCAGAGGCGCGAAAACUUUACAAUGCGGGAAACCGUGAUAAGGGAACUCCGAGUGCCCGUUAAAUCGGGCUGUCCAUCAGUUUAAAAAACUGGUGAAGAAGGGGCCGGGCAAGACCGGUGCCAGCCGCCGCGGUAAUACCGGCGGCUCGAGUGGUGGCCACUAUUACUGGGCUUAAAGCGUUCGUAGCUGGUUUGUUAAGUCUCUGGGGAAAUGUUCCGGCUUAACCGGAAGGCGUCUCAGGCGUCUCAGGGAUACUGGCAGACUAGGGACCGGAAGAGGUGAGGGGUACUUCAGGGGUAGGAGUGAAAUCCUGUAAUCC
This 327-nucleotide ribosomal RNA is filed under the name uncultured methanogenic archaeon. Its description in RNAcentral is "bacterial SSU rRNA". It matches the Rfam family "Archaeal small subunit ribosomal RNA", at positions 325 to 648 of the family's 1478-position model. The record is from RNAcentral. Lineage: Archaea; Methanobacteriati; Methanobacteriota.